CAGACCACAAAAAGCAAGUGCCUCAGAUAAAUGAGCUUCAAAGGGGAAAAAUGAUGCAACACCACAGAACAGAGCAGAAAGUCUUAGGAAUGAGGCAUGAAGGACUGAAACCAUUGGGACUGCUGUGGGAGGAACAGCUUUCUUUUUGUCGCUGUUGCAUAGAUCUCCAGAGGCUUAAGGGUCUCUCUUGAAUCGUUAAGACUAUGGAGCCUCUCAUUGGUCUUAUUGGAAAAGAGAAAGGGAACUUCAAAUGGGAGAGCUUGGAUGGUUUGUUGCUUCUGUGGGGGAAGACCUGAUGACUGCAGCCAAAAUGAACAUCACAUAAUGAUUGAGAAAGCCAUAGCUCAAGCCACAGAGUCCGCUGCAUCCAGGCUUGCUUGCAAUGAUGUUUUGGAAAUUAAUUUCCCCAUUUCCCCCAUAGUACUGAACUCCUACUUUGCCUCAUCGGGGCCUUGUCUUUGAACUUAACGAUACUAUCCCACAAGCUGAAAUCGUAGAGACCCAGCAGAGCCUCUGGGUUCAUGAUCCUGAACUAUAAAAUUCCUCUGAAAUAAAGCUUUCCACUUUAUCAAA
Chelonoidis abingdonii (Abingdon island giant tortoise) is the source of this 573-nucleotide long non-coding RNA. RefSeq lists it as uncharacterized. NCBI's taxonomy places the organism in Eukaryota, Metazoa, Chordata, Testudines, Testudinidae. The record is from RefSeq and is a predicted model, not a curated record.